GACGAACGCUGGCGGCGUGCCUAAUACAUGCAAGUCGAACGCUUCUUUCCUCCCGAGUGCUUGCACUCAAUUGGAAAGAGGAGUGGCGGACGGGUGAGUAACACGUGGGUAACCUACCCAUAAGAGGGGGAUAACACUUGGAAACAGGUGCUAAUACCGCAUAACAGUUUAUGCCGCAUGGCAUAAGAGUGAAAGGCGCUUUCGGGUGUCGCUGAUGGAUGGACCCGCGGUGAAUUAGCUAGUUGGUGAGGUAACGGCUCACCAAGGCCACGAUGCAUAGCCGACCUGAGAGGGUGAUCGGCCACACUGGGACUUAGACACGGCCCAUACUCCUACGGUAGGCAGCAGUAGGGAAUCUUCGGCAAUGGACGAAAGUCUGACCGAGCAACGCCGCGUGAGUGAAGACGGUUUUCGGAUCGUAAAACUCUGUUGUUAGAGAAGAACAAGGACGUUAGUAACUGAACGUCGCCUGACGGUAUCUAACCAGAAAGCCACGGCUAACUACGUG
Molecule: ribosomal RNA, 508 nt
Filed under: uncultured bacterium
Lineage: Bacteria
Description: partial 16S ribosomal RNA
Rfam family: Bacterial small subunit ribosomal RNA
Source: RNAcentral